CCUAUUACUAAACCAAUGCCUGCCCAUUUCCCUCCUAAAUCUAUACUUUUCUAAUUUACGUCAAUUACUGCAUGUUCUAUCUUGCCAAACAUCUUAUGCAAAAGUUAACCAGCAUCUUCACUCUUUCAUCCCUUACACUGAUAAACUCUGGAACAGCCUUCCUUCGUCUGCAUUUCCUCCUGCCUAUAAUUUGACCUUCAAGAAGAGUGUAUCAAGACUCUACUUUUGUCUGUUUGGGAGCGGUGAGUAGCGGGGCUUUUUUUUCUAGUACGCUUUGUUGCCCUUGAGCUGUCUCCUUUGUUUAAAGAAAAUAAUAAUUAAAUAAAUAGAAGUUGGCCGCCAAUGCUUCCAACACAUUUUGGUGCCAUAUCUACAAGUGGCUGGUGACUGUAAGUAUCUCAGCAACCUGCAUGCAUCUAUGCCAUUCCUAUCACGGUGCAUGGAGCAAGCUUCACAUAACACUCAGACAGAGACAGUUCAAUUAUGGUUAUAUUUCAGACUCAGUUUAUUGCUCAGUCUAUUAGGUGCAGUGCUGUUAAUAUUGUUAGUGGUAGUAUUAGUACAGUUAAUGUAUUUAUUUUCAUUAAUUUAUCAAUAUUUAUUUAUUAUAUUAUUAGUGUUUGAAAAUUCUAAUACUAGUAUUAAGAUAAACAAAAAUAUCAGAAAUAUAUUUAUACUCAUUAAUUAUUAUUGCUUUUCUUAUUAUUAAUUCCUUCAAUGUCCUGGCACUUUGACAUCUAGUGCUUUUCCGUCUAGCAGCCAAAAUUGUGGUCUUUCUGAAUGUGUAUGUCCUAAGUCUUCAUUGGUGUAACUAGCUAUAUAACAUCAAAAUCUGCAUCUCUCUCCCUUCUCACCCAGUUGUCCCCGUACAUCCUUUCAGUAUCCAAAGAAUUUCAAUUUACAUCUUGUAAUCACUUAACUAAUGCAGUGCAAUCCUCAUCUCUGUAUUUUACCGUGUGGACAUACUCUUUCCUUCCAUGUUCCACUGUCGUAUGUUAUUCCACAUCUAACACAACCACAUCCCAACAGAUCCAAACACGUUCGAUAUCAUCCAAGAGAAUGUGGCAGCUGAAGGGGAGAGUCCAAGAAAGAGGCCAAGGGUGAAGACAUUUAGCCACCCCCUGAAGUACAUGGCAGCAUCCAACCCUCUUGCUGAGCUGCAGGAAUGUGCUCCCCAUUGCAGUGCACCAGCUCCAUGUAUUGAUUUUGGGUGUGAACUUGAUGGGGUUGGAGGAAACUCGACUCGGCCAUCAAGCUCACCACAAUAUAACAUGAAAAGUGAAAAUUGCUGCACACAACAGUCUGUCGUCUGCACCGGGAGGCAAGGCAGCUCAAAGCCCAGGCUGUUACAACUCCUGGGCAGUUUUUGCCCAGAGCCAGCAAUUUUUUAGAUCCAAUAGGGAUGGAUUUUUUCUGAGGUCAGGUUCAACAUGCUGCAAGAUGCCAAGAUCUAAGCCUAGUAGGAGAUAUGGGUUACAAGAGAGGAGGUUUGCUCUGGCCUUAUACUAUCAAAGUCCAAAUGCUAAUAGAUUUCUAAGCACAGUAUUUCACUUGCCUUCAGUUUCAACACUUCACUCAUGACUCAGGGGUAUUUCAGUAAAUGUUGGCUGGAGCAAACAGACUCUGACAGCCCUGCAGCAAAGAGCACAGGCUUUGUCAAAAGAAGAGAUACUUCGUGGGAUUUGCCAUUAUUUAGUAUUACUCUUGUUACGCCAAGAAAUUUUUUCCAUAUACUUUGCCAAAUAUUGCAAGUAAUGCACCAUUGUUGGUCUUGCCUGUUAUAAAUCAGAUCUUGUUCAAUUAACAAGCUUUGGGUGUCUGCCACUUUCCAGUUGUAAUGCAAGGAAUCAUUUAUCUUCCCUGCCAGAUAUCACACGUAAUGCACCAUUGUUGGUUUUGCCUGUUAUAAAUCAGAUCUUGUUCAGUUAACAAGCUUUAGGUGUCUGCCACUUUCCAGUUGUAAUGCAAGGAAUCCCCUGCCAGAUAUCGCAUGUAAUGCACCAUUGUUGGUUUUGCCUGUUAUAAAUCAGAUCUUGUUCAGCUCACAAGCUUUGAAUAUCUGCCAUUGUUUAUUUCAGGUGUAAUGCUUGGAAGCAUUUGUUCUCUUCCCUACCCAACAGUAUGCAAUGCUUUAUUGUGGAUUUUGCCUGUUAUAUUUAAUCUUGUUCAGGUAACAAGCUUUUGGUGUCUGCCUUACCUAAUAUGUGCUGCAGUGACACUUGGCUUGGUUUCAUAAUGUGAAAUACAGCAUGUAAUUUCAUCACAUUAAGUGUCUAUCAUCACGUGUCUGGCAUCAUUAAUGUGGCUUCCAGGAGUAAUCUUGUUUGUAUUACAGCAUGCAAUUUUUUUCUGCUUUAUAUGAUAUACAUAAUCACAUAGGU
Eriocheir sinensis (Chinese mitten crab) is the source of this 2381-nucleotide long non-coding RNA. RefSeq lists it as uncharacterized. Lineage: Eukaryota; Metazoa; Arthropoda; Malacostraca; Decapoda; Varunidae. The record is from RefSeq and is a predicted model, not a curated record. The transcript is spliced from 3 exons.